AGCGAGUGAAGCCUUCAAUUUAGCGGCUUCCCCCCUUUUCCCUCAGCCUACUCUUUCAUUUUCGCUUAAGCUCCCCCGGUUUGGGGGAUUAAUUGAUUGGAUACCCGAGAACCAUAAUCUUUCCUAGGAACAGCUUCUACGACGAUGGAUAGGGGUCAGGUUUGUUUGGCAUCUAUGCCCACUGCCCUCCAAACAGUAUGGGAGCCUUUCAGCUCGUACUGCUCACACUCCUAGAUCUUCACGGCACCCCCUCCACCAUAGUGUGAGCCGGGAGCUGCUCCAAACCAAAAAGGCCUACUUCAAAAUUCGCUUUCAACACCACAAAAAAAGUAAACUAUGGUUGCCUACUGAUCUGAUCAUAGGUGAAAUCCCUUCGCUUCGCGCCAGGCUUGGAAACCGUAAGUCAGGCUCCUCUCCUUUCGUCUCUCGGAAGUGAGAAAGCGAGCAGCAAGCUGAAAAAGCCCUUUCCCCUUUUCAUAAUAAGGUCAGCUUCAUAGCUCCAACCUAUACAAGGGACAAGCCAAAACCAGCUGAAGGAAGGGUGGUCGUAGAUCAGACUUCUGAUUAUUAGAGAAAGGGGAGCUUAUUUUUAGAAAAAAAAAAGACUAAAAAACUAGGUUUGGAACCCUACUCCCCAACAACUACAAGGAUGCUUGCUUGCUGGCAUCAAAGCCCUUCAUUAUUAUUAUUAUAUUAAUAUUAAUGGGGGGGAGGGCGCACAACACAACCCGUUCUCUGCUCUUUUCCUGAGCCUUUCACACUAAGCUCUUCGAUCCUGCCCUGCGCCUCUCUAGGCAUGAGCGAUGGCUCAUGACUGGUAUAUGGAUCUCUUUAUCUUUAUAUAGAGUGGUCGGCCUUCUAGAAGCUUCGCCGGAAGCGACUAGUCGCUUCCCGAAUGCCUCUUUACUUUAGUAUGUAUGUAUGUAUGGUCUAGUCUUUCCAAUGCCUCCUUCCUUGCCGCCAACGUACGCUACUAGGAGAGUAAGCAAGCUACCUUGCUUGUAUUUUAUUCUAUAAGCGGAGCGAUUUGUCGAGUCUAGGAAGCUUCGUAGUUGCCCCCCCUUUGCUUUGCCUCGCCAUGCCACUAGAUCCAUAAUGACCGGCGAGUCGGAAUAUGUACGAAUAUAACCACGCGGAGCGCCGGACCGGUCUAGCGAAGAAAGAGAUCAUUGAGCCUAUUUAGCCGAGCUAAGGUUUGGAACCCUAGUUUAUUAGUAUUUUAGAAUAAUAAGAUUUUAAUAGGCUAAGGGGGCUGGGAAUCGCAAGAAUUGAGAAGUCCUCUAUUGAAUGGGGUGGGUUCGGAAAUGGCCGGAUUAGCAGGAGGAAGGGCGGCCCCACUCUGAAACAAGGGUGUACGUACAUAAAGAAAGAGGCUGGUUAUGGCCUUUACUUGAUAGGGCUCCUUCCUAUCUAUCUUGACCGGGAAGAGGGGGGAGGCCCUUUCGGAAGCCCUGCCCGCCCUUCUCUGUUUAGAGGGAUUUAGGAUUCAAAGCUUCCCGGACUCUUAACAGACGGCUAAGAGCAAGAAGAGGAUCAGUAGUCUCUGCCGUUGCAGGUCCUUCUCCUUCCGCCGAGACGGCCCUCUUUUUUUGUUUUGUUUGUUCACCGUGGCACGAAAUCAUGAAGAAGCUGGAAUAACUCAGAAAGAGAAGAGAGUGGCGCCUAGCCGUUGAAAGCCUUUGUUUUGUCUUUGUAGAGGAACAGUACGAUCUUGGGCUGGCCCCCUUCGCACGGCCUAGAAAGAAAAAGAAGUCCGUGCUACUAUAAGGCUUCUAAACUCCUCCCUCAGGACACGGUUGCCUUGCCCAUGGGGACGGGGUAGCCCCGACUUCCAUAGGUCCUUGGUUCGACCUCUUAAUGAGAAUUGAGGUCCUUGCGCGGGCGUCUCAUCCCUAAGACUUGCUUGCUCUGUAUGGAGUGCCCCGUGGUUCCUCGAGUGCCAGCCGCAGAGAGGAAUGCCAUCAACUAGGGCGCUAUUGGCCACUAACCACUCGCUCGCCGGCCGUUCGGGCUCCGCGUUUCAAGUUCGUUAUCCUAACCGUCUCCUCUGCUCCACCGGGAGCCUGGCCCCUUCUUCUAUCUUAUCUACUGCCUUGCUCCUCGGCUCCCUACAGCUCCAGCCGCUCGCUGUAAUAGCUUGCUUCUCGGGUGGCUCGCACCCCGGGUGGUGCGGCUGAGCCAGAGUGGGCUCAGCAGUCGGCCUAUGUUUCCGGGCGCACGCAUAAAGGCAUGAUUAGUUCCACAAAUCUCACUGCACUGACCAUAGUAAACUCCUUCUCGUUGUACCGAAAUAGAGAUCUGAUUUAAACGACCAGGUACAGCAUCACAUUUGACACCUAAGGAAGGUACAGCCCAACUAUGAAGUACAUCAGCAGAUGUUACAAUAAUACGUAGAUGAGUUUUGGCUGGUACAACCACUCUAUUGUCC
This 2428-nucleotide long non-coding RNA is filed under the name Citrus maxima (pomelo). RNAcentral's name for it is "long non-coding RNA (CMAX_LNC003772)". The record is from RNAcentral. Lineage: Eukaryota; Viridiplantae; Streptophyta; Magnoliopsida; Sapindales; Rutaceae.